RNAcentral lists this ribosomal RNA (468 nucleotides) under uncultured bacterium. Its description in RNAcentral is "partial 16S ribosomal RNA". It matches the Rfam family "Bacterial small subunit ribosomal RNA", at positions 28 to 507 of the family's 1533-position model. The record is from RNAcentral.
GACGAACGCUGGCGGCGUGCUUAACACAUGCAAGUCGAACGGAAAGGCCCUGCUUUUGUGGGGUGCUCGAGUGGCGAACGGGUGAGUAACACGUGAGUAACCUGCCCUUGACUUUGGGAUAACUUCAGGAAACUGGGGCUAAUACCGGAUAGGAGCUCCUGCUGCAUGGUGGGGGUUGGAAAGUUUCGGCGGUUGGGGAUGGACUCGCGGCUUAUCAGCUUGUUGGUGGGGUAGUGGCUUACCAAGUCUUUGACGGGUAGCCGGCCUGGGAGGGUGACCGGCCACAUUGGGACUGAGAUCAGGCCCAGACUCCUACGGGAGGCAGCAGUGGGGAAUAUUGCACAAUGGGCGGAAGCCUGAUGCAGCAACGCCGCGUGCGGGAUGACGGCCUUCGGGUUGUAAACCGCUUUCGCCUGUGACGAAGCGUGAGUGACGGUAAUGGGUAAAGAAGCACCGGCUAACUACGUG